CAGUAAACUGGACUACCCGACUGAAGGACCCGAGGCCCCGCUGCACUUUUUAGUGUACAGGUUGAAGGGCUCCAUUAUUCCAAGGACUGGCCUCCCAUCAUGCUCUGGCUUACAGUGGUAAUGCUGUAAUAGUACACUGCUCUUUAAUUUACUCAUCAACAGACUUCUGCAACCAGCUAAGAGUAAGAUGAUAAAUCCAGUCUAGGUUUAAUUUAAAACGAGCACGCUCUGUAAUCCAUGGAAGAAAAGUUAUACAGAAAAGCAGCCAUGGGCCAAAAUGAAGAGGAUUACAGCCGGAUUACCUGUGUUCUGACUCGUGGAUGGAGAAUAUGACUCCUGACGUGGAGGACUUCUGCUGGAUGGAGGCCAAGAAGGCGAUGUGCCGUCUGCCUCCUCCGUGCACACUUGGCAAAAGCGCAAGCA
Oreochromis aureus is the source of this 423-nucleotide long non-coding RNA. RefSeq lists it as uncharacterized. Lineage: Eukaryota; Metazoa; Chordata; Actinopteri; Cichliformes; Cichlidae. The transcript is spliced from 3 exons. The record is from RefSeq and is a predicted model, not a curated record.